GACGAACGCUGGCGGCGUGCUUAACACAUGCAAGUCGAACGGAAAGGCCCCUUUGGUUGUACUCGCUUGGCGAACGGGUGAAUAACACGUGAGUAACCUGCUCUCGUCCUCGGGAUAACUUCAGGAAACUGGGGCUAAUACCGUAUAGGCAUACUUUCUGCAGGUUGGGGUUUGGCAAUCGUCGGCGGUUUUGGUUGUGUUGGCGGCUUAUCGGCUUGUGGGUGGUGUAGUGGCUUACCAAGGCUUUGACGGGUAGCCGGCCUGAGCGGACGAGCGGCGACAUAGGGACUGAGAGAAGGCCCAGACUGCGACGGGAGGGAGCAGGGGGGAAGAUUGAACAAUGGGCGGAGGCUUGAUGAAGAAACGCCGCGUGCGGGAUGACGGCGUUGGGGUUGUAAAACGAUUUCAGCAGGGGCGAAGCUUGUCGUGACGGUACCUGAAGAAGAAGCAACGGCUAACUACGUG
This 465-nucleotide ribosomal RNA is filed under the name uncultured bacterium. RNAcentral describes it as "partial 16S ribosomal RNA". It matches the Rfam family "Bacterial small subunit ribosomal RNA", at positions 28 to 507 of the family's 1533-position model. The record is from RNAcentral.